RNAcentral lists this ribosomal RNA (113 nucleotides) under Trachymyrmex septentrionalis. The record is from RNAcentral. Lineage: Eukaryota; Metazoa; Arthropoda; Insecta; Hymenoptera; Formicidae.
AACAACAUUGAAAUCAUUCAAAGUACCAGUUCUCGUCUGAUCGCUGAAGUCAAGCAACAUUGAGCACGGUUAGUACUUGAAUGAUCGCUUGGGAAUACCGUGUGAUGUUGUCU